RNAcentral lists this long non-coding RNA (203 nucleotides) under Elaeis guineensis (African oil palm). Its description in RNAcentral is "long non-coding RNA (EGUI_LNC036604)". Lineage: Eukaryota; Viridiplantae; Streptophyta; Magnoliopsida; Arecales; Arecaceae. The record is from RNAcentral.
AGUUCAGAACUCGAUACUUGAUCGUGGGUCAAUGAUCUUCACUUUUGACAGAUAUGGUGGAAAGAAUCUUUGCUAAUUGCUCACAGCCGCAUAUGCAUCCGACUUCUAUGAAAAGUUCACUCAAAGCUUCGAUCUGAUCGAUCUUCUCGAGAGUGCUGGCUCAUGCGAAGACCUUUCGAUUGACCAAUCUAGAUCCUUUCUUC